CGAGGAGCUUGCUCCUCUGACGUUAGCGGCGGACGGGUGAGUAACACGUGGAUAACCUACCUAUAAGACUGGGAUAACUUCGGGAAACCGGAGCUAAUACCGGAUAAUAUAUUGAACCGCAUGGUUCAAUAGUGAAAGACGGUUUUGCUGUCACUUAUAGAUGGAUCCGCGCCGCAUUAGCUAGUUGGUAAGGUAACGGCUUACCAAGGCAACGAUGCGUAGCCGACCUGAGAGGGUGAUCGGCCACACUGGAACUGAGACACGGUCCAGACUCCUACGGGAGGCAGCAGUAGGGAAUCUUCCGCAAUGGGCGAAAGCCUGACGGAGCAACGCCGCGUGAGUGAUGAAGGUCUUCGGAUCGUAAAACUCUGUUAUUAGGGAAGAACAAAUGUGUAAGUAACUAUGCACGUCUUGACGGUACCUAAUCAGAAAGCCACGGCUAACUACGUGCCAGCAGCCGCGGUAAUACGUAGGCGGCAAGCGUUAUCCGGAAUUAUUGGGCGUAAAGCGCGCGUAGGCGGUUUUUUAAGUCUGAUGUGAAAGCCCACGGCUCAACCGUGGAGGGUCAUUGGAAACUGGAAAACUUGAGUGCAGAAGAGGAAAGUGGAAUUCCAUGUGUAGCGGUGAAAUGCGCAGAGAUAUGGAGGAACACCAGUGGCGAAGGCGACUUUCUGGUCUGUAACUGACGCUGAUGUGCGAAGGCGUGGGGAUCAAACAGGAUUAG
This 724-nucleotide ribosomal RNA is filed under the name uncultured Staphylococcus sp. RNAcentral's name for it is "bacterial SSU rRNA". It matches the Rfam family "Bacterial small subunit ribosomal RNA", at positions 72 to 781 of the family's 1533-position model. The record is from RNAcentral. Lineage: Bacteria; Bacillati; Bacillota; Bacilli; Caryophanales; Staphylococcaceae.